This 66-nucleotide transfer RNA is filed under the name Blaberus peruvianus. RNAcentral's name for it is "tRNA-Leu". Lineage: Eukaryota; Metazoa; Arthropoda; Insecta; Blattodea; Blaberidae. The record is from RNAcentral.
ACUAUUUUGACAGAAAAGUGUGGUAGAUUUAGAAUCUAUUUAUGUAGUGUAAAACUAUAAGUAGUA